RNAcentral lists this ribosomal RNA (450 nucleotides) under uncultured bacterium. Its description in RNAcentral is "bacterial SSU rRNA". It matches the Rfam family "Bacterial small subunit ribosomal RNA", at positions 354 to 796 of the family's 1533-position model. The record is from RNAcentral.
GUGGGGAAUUUUGGACAAUGGGCGCAAGCCUGAUCCAGCAAUGCCGCGUGAGUGAAGAAGGCCUUCGGGUUGUAAAGCUCUUUCAGUCGAGAAGAAAAGGUUGUGACUAAUAAUCAUAACUCAUGACGGUAUCGACAGAAGAAGCACCGGCUAACUACGUGCCAGCAGCCGCGGUAAUACGUAGGGUGCGAGCGUUAAUCGGAAUUACUGGGCGUAAAGGGUGCGCAGGCGGUUCUGUAAGUCAGAUGUGAAAUCCCCGGGCUUAACCUGGGAACUGCGUUUGAAACUACAGAGCUAGAGUGUGGCAGAGGGGGGUGGAAUUCCAUGUGUAGCAGUGAAAUGCGUAGAGAUAUGGAAGAACAUCGAUGGCGAAGGCAGCCCCCUGGGUUAACACUGACGCUCAUGCACGAAAGCGUGGGGAGCAAACAGGAUUAGAUACCCGAGUAGUCC